GGGAGCCGCAGAGGACAUCCAUGGCGGGGCAGCCUCUCCUUCAUCCGCCUGAAGAGCGGCUGCUUCUUCUCGCGGCUCUUUUCACAGCAGCAGCAGCAGCAGCCAGGCUCCCGCACAGCCUCCGCUUGCUUCCCUUCCGCCACGCUAAGGCGGAUGUUCGCCAACUUGGCCGCCGCCGCCUCCUCCUCCUCCUCACACGGAAAGGGGGGCGGGGAAGGGCUUGCCUAGGCAGCGCUGAGGCUGGGCCGGGCGGGCUUGGCUGGGGUCUUCUCCCCCUGUUGCAGUAGUUUCGCGGGCCUGCUUCCAUGGGGACAACGGGCUUAGCAGCUCACGUUGGCUCUGUGCCCGCGCGGCGCGUGGCCCACCGUUAUGCACGUACCAGGUAGAACGCAGGACCGAGAUCAAGAUGGGGAGAGAAGAAGAAGAGACAGGCUAAGCACUCUGUUUAGAGCCCUGUCGUUUCCCCAGAGAGGGUGUACAUGCUCCAUCCUGCACCCCAGUUCUCUGCGUUAAAUUUAGCAGCAGGACAGGGAAGGGACCUCCAUGGGGAUGACGCGCCCCCCCCCCCCCAUCAUCACACACACUCCCGCCCAGCAGGAAGACAAAUCGCUCCUUUCCCCAUAGCAGUGAGUUCCAGAGAUUCAAAAAGACUUAUUUGUGGAGGUCUUGCUACUGUGAGAAGGGAGAUUAAUUGGAUGAACAAGAAAUUGGCGAGUCAAUGGAGCAUAUCACUUCUGCUCACUGGAGAGGUCUCCUUCACUUCCGCUGUGGAAACAAUCUGCACGCCUCCGCUCACAUCAGCCUAAUGGGAGAGCACUUGACAAUUCCUGAAGAACUGUAAUUGGCCAGCAGAUGGCACCAGAGAUGGAGCGGCGCUGAAUCUGAAAAGGACCAGUAAUGUGUUGCAAAAGGAAGG
Molecule: long non-coding RNA, 916 nt
Organism: Hemicordylus capensis (graceful crag lizard)
Lineage: Eukaryota; Metazoa; Chordata; Lepidosauria; Squamata; Cordylidae
Exons: 3
Source: RefSeq, a predicted model, not a curated record